UGAUAUGAUCCAAGAAGGAGGUGCUACUUUGGAAGCUUACAGUAAUGACCUUGCUUAUUUAAAGAAAAAGGUGGAUGCCGGUGCAGAUCUGAUAAUCACUCAGUUAUUUUACGAUACUGACAUUUUCCUCAAGUUUGUCAGUGACUGCCGUCAAAUUGGGAUAACUUGCCCAAUUGUUCCAGGAAUCAUGCCUA
Molecule: long non-coding RNA, 194 nt
Organism: Dendrobium catenatum
Lineage: Eukaryota; Viridiplantae; Streptophyta; Magnoliopsida; Asparagales; Orchidaceae
Exons: 2
Source: RefSeq, a predicted model, not a curated record